UCGGGACCCGCGGGGCCGCUCCGGGACCCGGUGUCGGUUCCGGACCCGGUGUCGGUUCGGGACCCGCGGGGCCGCUCCGGGACCCGGUGUCGGUUCCGACCCGGUGUCGGUUCGGGACCCGCGGGGCCGCCGGCAACAUCGUGACCAGGCAUUGAACAGGCAGCAAGAGCCACGUUUUCUUAGCGAGCUGCUCCUGUACAAGGAGAGAGGCUGUUUGAGUCAGAGCCUUGGAGCUGCCUCCAGCUCUUCACCCUCUUGGCUGUGCUUUUCCCAGGCAUCAAGGGAAUCCCCAUGGCACACCAUGGGCUGGUGUAGCACCUCAGAAAGCCCUGCCCUGCACGGGGCCUCUGCAGCACCUCACGGACACAAGAGCAUGUCCCACCUCCUGCUGUGGCCUCAGGAAAGUCCCUCCUACCUCCAGUGGGGUGGCACGUAGAGGAUGUUACCUGUGGUCAGCAGCCAGAGCAAAACUGAGGACCUGCAAGCAGCUCCCAGCAGGCAAAAUCAGAGUAAGCCAAGACCCGUGGCUCAAACUCUUUAUUAACAUGAGAUCAGGUGAGUUUUAAUAGCUCUGUGUUUCCCACUCUCUCUAUCAGGGCUCACUCUGCUUCUAAUAAGAAUUUACCAAAGCAAAGGGACUGGCCCAGACCUAUUCAAGUGAGACAAAAUCUCAGUUUGGGGCUGCCUUGCUCUGUGUCAGUAGUGUAACAUAACACAGAAAACAAAACCUCAGAGCCUGAACUUCCCUCCUGACCUGUUGUGAACCAAUGAUUUCAGUGCCUCCCUCCAAGGCCAGGGCCCUGGCUGGCACAGAGUGGGGAAGAGCUCCCCCACAGCUCUUCCACCCGUGGCAAUCCUCUGCUCCCGAGAACCACGAGGCAAUUUGAUUUGUGAGCUGCCAAAGCUGGCCUGAGCCCUCAUCAGGCACGUUUAAACCCAGACCACCAGCUGACUUCAUUUGCUAAGGGACUGGAGCUGGAGCCUCGAAAGGGUUUGACGAGGGGGCUUAGAUUUGUUAAACUUUUUAGUAGAUCCUUUCUCCCACCUUCCAAAGUCCUCUGCCAGAAAAAUAAUAACAAUACAGAGAAAGAAUAAAUUUAAUAGUGUGGGGGAAGAGAGGCACCAAUAAAGAGAAGUCUGUAACUUA
Molecule: long non-coding RNA, 1147 nt
Organism: Vidua macroura (Pin-tailed whydah)
Lineage: Eukaryota; Metazoa; Chordata; Aves; Passeriformes; Viduidae
Exons: 2
Source: RefSeq, a predicted model, not a curated record